RNAcentral lists this ribosomal RNA (1372 nucleotides) under Mythicomyia sp. RNAcentral describes it as "16S ribosomal RNA". The stretch from base 620 to 1372 matches the Rfam family "Archaeal large subunit ribosomal RNA", at positions 1423 to 2883 of the family's 2987-position model. The record is from RNAcentral. Lineage: Eukaryota; Metazoa; Arthropoda; Insecta; Diptera; Mythicomyiidae.
UAUAAAUUGAUAGGAUUUAUUUAUUAUUAUAUUUUAUUUUAUGUUAUUUGUGUUUAAAAUAAUUUUUUGCCUUAUAGUUUAAGUAUAGUUUAUUGAAAAGAUUAUUUAUAAUGAUAGUUUAAUAGUACCGUGAGGGAAUAUUGAAAUAAUUUGAAAAUUUAUUAAAAUUAAAGAAGUCUUUUUUUGGCGUACCUUGUGUAUCAGGGUUGAUUAAUUAAAAAAUUUUUAUAAAUUUUUCUCGAUUUUAGAAGAGCUAAUUUUCUAUAAUGGUUAUUGUGACAUAAUUAUUUUUAAUAGGUAAUUAGAAAUGAAACGUUAUUCGUUUUUAAAGGUUUCUAGUUUUUUAAGAAAUAAAUUUAAUUUAGCUUUAAAAAUUUUAAUUUUUCAAUUGUUUGAUGAUUUAAAGUUUUAAAGUAAUAAAUUACGGGAUUAGCUGUAGUUUAAAGUGAUUAAACCUUAUUAUGUGAUUAUUGAUGUAAGCUUAAGAAUAGCUAUCAUUUAUGAGUAUGUUAUAAUUUAUAUUAUAUAUGAUAUAAUUUAAUUUUGGGUUUAUUGAUGUAUUAAAAUAUCUUUUUUAAUUUUUUAUAAAGAUUAAUAAUGAUUAAAUUAGUAUAUUUUUAUUUAUAAUAAGAUGUUUUAUUAUUAGAUAUUAUAAAGGAACUCGGCAAAAAUAUUGCUCGCCUGUUUAACAAAAACAUGUCCUUUAGGUUUUUAUUUAAGGUCUGGCCUGCCCACUGAAAUUUGAAGGGCCGCAGUAUUUUAACUGUGCAAAGGUAGCAUAAUCAUUAGUCUUUUAAUUGUAGGCUAGAAUGAAUGGUCGGACGAGGUAAAAGCUGUCUCUAUAAUAAGUUUAGAACUUUAUUUUUGAGUUAAAAAGCUUAAAUGUUAUUGAAAGACGAGAAGACCCUAUAGAUCUUUAUUAUGGAAUUUAUCUAAGUAAUUAGGUUAUUUGAUUUAGGUGGGGUUUCAUAAUUUUGUUGGGGUGACAUUAAAAUUAAAUAAACUUUUAUUUGUUAUUUCAUUAAUUUAUGAAUUAAUUGAUCCUUUAUUAUGGAUUAUAAAAUUAAGUUACCUUAGGGAUAACAGCGUAAUCCUUUUGGAGAGUUCAUAUCGAUAAAAGGGGUUGCGACCUCGAUGUUGGAUUAAGAUAAUCUUUAGGUGCAGUAGUCUAUUGGUUGAGUCUGUUCGACUUUAUUUCUUACAUGAUCUGAGUUCAAACCGGCGUGAGCCAGGUUGGUUUCUAUCUUUAUUUAUAUAAAAUAUUUUAGUACGAAAGGACCAAAUAUUUAGUUUUAUAAUUUUUGUUUAAUUGAAUAAAAUUACUAUUUUGGCAGAUUAGUGCAAUAAAUUUAGAAUUUAUAUAUGUAAUUUU